GAUGAAGAACGCAGCGAAAUGCGAUAAGUAAUGUGAAUUGCAGAAUUCAGUGAAUCAUCGAAUCUUUGAACGCACAUUGCGCCCUCUGGUAUUCCGGGGGGCAUGCCUGUUCGAGCGUCAUUAUAACCACUCAAGCUCUCGCUUGGUAUUGGGGCUCGCGGUUCCGCGGCCCCUAAAAUCAGUGGCGGUGCCUGUCGGCUCUACGCGUAGUAAUACUCCUCGCGAUUGAGUCCGGUAGGUCUACUUGCCAGCAACCCCCAAUUUUUACAGGUUGACCUCGGAUGAGGUAGGGAUACCCGCUGAACUUAAGCAUAUCAAUAAGCGGAGGA
This 329-nucleotide unclassified non-coding RNA is filed under the name soil metagenome. RNAcentral describes it as "partial contains 5.8S ribosomal RNA, internal transcribed spacer 2, and large subunit ribosomal RNA". The stretch from base 1 to 120 matches the Rfam family "5.8S ribosomal RNA", at positions 35 to 154 of the family's 154-position model. The record is from RNAcentral.